This 245-nucleotide unclassified non-coding RNA is filed under the name Hevea brasiliensis (rubber tree). Lineage: Eukaryota; Viridiplantae; Streptophyta; Magnoliopsida; Malpighiales; Euphorbiaceae. The record is from RNAcentral.
AAAAGUAAUCACGAAGUAAUUAUGAAUAUGUUAAUUCUUAGUGAAAAAUCAGAACUGAGCCAAAGUAUUAAAAUAGUUUUGAUUCAUUGUUCAUGUCGGUUCAAUAUGAUUUUUCAACUCGAUUCGAAACUCCUAAGAACCGUAUACAGCCCUAAUAAAACAAAAUAUAUACAAUAUGAGUUUAGCUCUUAUAAAAAUUAAUGGAGGAGAAGCAAUCAAUUUAAAUAUCUAGGUUCUAUCAUAUA